CCUACGGGAGGCAGCAGUGGGGAAUAUUGCACAAUGGGGGAAACCCUGAUGCAGCGACGCCGCGUGAGUGAAGAAGUAUUUCGGUACGUAAAGCUCUAUCAGCAGGGAAGAGAAUGAGGGUAUCUGACUAAGAUGCCCCGGCUAACUACGUGCCAGCAGCCGCGGUAAUACGUAGGGGGCAAGCGUUUUCCGGAUUUACUGGGUGGAAAGGGAGCGUAGACGGGGGGUCAAGUCUGGAGUGAAAUCCCAUGGCUUAACCAUGGAACUGCUUUGGAAACUGUGCAGCUAGAGUGCAGGAGAGGUAAGCGGAAUUCCUAGUGUAGCGGUGAAAUGCGUAGAUAUUAGGAGGAACACCGGCGGCGAAGGCGGCCUGCUGGACCGCGACUGACGUUGAGGCUCGAAAGCGUGGGGAGCGAACAGGAUUAGAUACCCCAGUAGUC
This 440-nucleotide ribosomal RNA is filed under the name uncultured bacterium. RNAcentral describes it as "partial 16S ribosomal RNA". It matches the Rfam family "Bacterial small subunit ribosomal RNA", at positions 338 to 795 of the family's 1533-position model. The record is from RNAcentral.